UCCGUUCCCAGUGGCUCGGCCUCAACAUCAGGAGCAUCGACAGAGAAAAUAUCUACUGACAAACACCGGAAUUAUGCUGUUGUAGCUGGAACUGUGACGAUUCUCGGUGCUCUUGGAUGGUAUCUCAAAUCUAAAAAGAAGCCAGAAGAAGUCUAGGAUUGAGUUAACAAAUGAUGUCAUUUUCAUAUCAUCAGCAUCUGAAGCAUGGCCUGGGG
RNAcentral lists this unclassified non-coding RNA (215 nucleotides) under Hevea brasiliensis (rubber tree). Lineage: Eukaryota; Viridiplantae; Streptophyta; Magnoliopsida; Malpighiales; Euphorbiaceae. The record is from RNAcentral.